CGCACAUUGCGCCCCUUGGUACUCCAUGGGGCAUGCCUGUUCGAGCGUCAUCUACACCCUCAAGCGCUGCUUGGUGUUGGGCGUCUGUCCCGCCCAUGUGCGUGGACUCGCCCUAAAUGCAUUGGUAGCGGUGCUUUGCCUCCUCUUGCGCAGCACGUCGCGCUUUCCUCGGGGGGGGGAGGAGGCGCAGGCCCGCGCCCACGGAGCCACAAUUACCGUCUUUUGACCUCGGAUCAGGUAGGGAUACCCGCUGAACUUAA
This 260-nucleotide unclassified non-coding RNA is filed under the name Coniothyriaceae sp. Its description in RNAcentral is "partial contains 5.8S ribosomal RNA, internal transcribed spacer 2, and large subunit ribosomal RNA". Lineage: Eukaryota; Fungi; Ascomycota; Dothideomycetes; Pleosporales; Coniothyriaceae. The record is from RNAcentral.